GACGAACGCUGGCGGCGUGCUUAACACAUGCAAGUCGAACGGUGAACCUCUUCGGAGGGGCUCAGUGGCGAACGGGUGAGUAACCCGUGGGCAACCUGCCCCCGGCUCUGGGAUAACUCCAAGAAAUUGGGGCUAAUACCGGAUGUUCACCGCUUCCCGCAUGGGUGGUGGUGAAAAGGGUUUCCGGCUGGUGAUGGGCCCGCGGCCUCUCAGCUUGAUGGUGGGGUGGUGGCCUACCAAGGCGAUGACGCGUAGCCUGUCUGAGAGGGUGACCGGCCACACUGGAAGUGAGACACGGUCCAGACGCCUAAGGGAGGCAGCAGGGGGGACGAUUGGAGAAUGGGCGCAAGCCUGAUCCAGCCAUACCGCGUGGGUGAAGAAGGCCUUCGGGUUGUAAAGCCAUUUUGUUGGGAAAGAAAAGCAGCAGGUUAAUACCACGCGGUUCUGACGGUACCCAAAGAAUAAGCACCGGCGAACUUCGG
This 482-nucleotide ribosomal RNA is filed under the name uncultured bacterium. RNAcentral describes it as "partial 16S ribosomal RNA". It matches the Rfam family "Bacterial small subunit ribosomal RNA", at positions 28 to 506 of the family's 1533-position model. The record is from RNAcentral.